CUCUCAGUCACCCUGGAUAACACAGUGAGAGAAUGGAGCCACCUUAGGGUCAGAUCCAACAUGCCCACCCACCAAGUCCCAAGUGCACAACCUCCUGCGGAACCAAUGCAGCUGGGACGUCUACCACUGAGAGAAGAUGUCGAUAUCAGCACCACCUUUUUCUCUAUUGUGGGGAUGCUCAACAUGUCCUCCAGAACUGUCCUGUCUGGCCGCCACUACAUAAGGACUCCGUACAGGUGGGAACCUCGGUUUUUUUGGACAUAACCCAAAAACAAGUAAUGGUUCCUUUUGUGUUACAGUGGGGUUUCGAAAGAGAGGCUGCGUACACCCUUCUGGGCUCUGGAGCUGCGGGUAACUUCAUCGACUAAUCCUUCGCUCGUAGGCUCCAUCUGCGAACCGAACGGUUGGCCACCCCGAUAACCGUGCUAGGAGUGCACGGACAGCCUCUCCACGCCAAACAGGUUACACAUUGUACUCACCCAGUGAUGCUGCAGGCGGGAAUAUUCCAUUGUGAAACCAUUUCCUUGUUAAUCCUUCUGUACUCUUGUGACCCCCUCAUACUUGGGCACCCCUGGCUCUGCAUGCACAAUCCUGUGGUUGACUGGUGGACCGGGGAGCUGAUUACCUGAUCGGAGAGAUGCUUCUCUCACUGAUUAGCCCUGCCUUGUAAAGCUACCUCAGUAGAGAGCCCUGAGCCCAAAGAUCUGUGCUGCCUGAGUAUGGUGACCUGCUAGACAUCUUUAUAGGAAUUAUUCGACCUUUCAUCUCGCCCGUAGCCUCUAGUUUCUUGUUCAUCAAUAAGAAGGACGGGGGUCUUAAACCGUGUAUUGAUUAUCAAGCUUUAAAUGCCAUAACGGUAAAGCGCGGCAAACCUCUGCCGCUCAUCCAUUCUGCCAUUGAACAGCUUUGGUCCACCCCCAACUUCACAAAACUGGACCUCAGGAGUGCGUACAACCUUAUAUGAAUCCGGAAAGGGGAUGAAUGGAAGACAUCCUUCUUAACCAGCUCUGGUCAAUACGAGUACCAGGUCAUGCCUUAUGGUUUGGCAAACAGCCCGUCUAUCCUUCAGUCUUUUAUGUAUGAGGUUUUCAGGGAUAUACUGAAUCGUUUUGUCAUAGUUUAGAUAGAUGAUUAAAGGAGAGAAGUGUGAGUUUCACCAAACAUCUCUCAAGUUUCUAGGUUACCUCAUCCAACCAGGAGCAGUGGCGAUGGACGAGCAUAAGGUAACAGCGGUGCGCGACUGGCUCACUCCCUGAACCAUCAAGGAACUUCAGAGGUUUUUGGGAUUCACGAACUUCUACCGGAGAACCAUCCGUAAUUUCAGCCACGUGGUGGCUCCUAUGACCAGCCUCACUUGCGGGUACUGUUCCCUUCUAAGAGCAUUCUGCUCUGCUCCAGCGCUUCAACAGCCGGAUCCGGAGCGCCCCUUCGAGUGACAAGGUAAUGGGCUACCGCCACCCAGUGGCUUAUUUUUCUAGGAAGCCGAGUAUGGCUGAGAAAAAUUACGACAUGGGGAAUCAAGAGCUCCUAGCCAUAAAACUGGCCUUGGAGGAGUGGCGCCACUGGCUUGAAGGGGUGGCGCACCUCGGCAUUCGACCUUCUCGCUACGUCCCCGACUACUCCUCUUGCCUUACCCUUCGAAUCUGUCAGCUUCCAAUUUCCCAAUAAACCUGUAAUCUCCCGCAUUCUAGGUCCCGUCUUUGAUGUACUGCCCAAGUCUGACAUUUGGGAUCAUUGUCUUGCUGAAAUGUCCACCCUCGUUUCAUCUUCAGCACCCUGGUAGAUGGCAGCGGAUUCCUAUAAAGUGAAAAUAUAUGACUGAAGCCUGGCUACACCUGAUAGCCAUUUCAGGGAGGUUUUCCAUGGAACUAACUACAGGUACAGGAACUAGCUAGCCAUGAACAGAAAUGAGAUCUUGAUAAUAUUGCAUAUCCCACUGACAGAAAUACAACAAUCAAUUAAAUAAGCAAUACAGUAUGUCAGAAUUCAGAAAUCCUUUGCACAGAGGCUGCGCCACGCCAGACUGAAAAAGGAAACCAGUUCUACACAAGGCAUUUGGGUUUUGAACUCAAAUCUAAAGUGUCUGUUAUCCAAAUCCAAAGUCCUCUUUCAUUUCACUCCUUCAGUUUUUUUUUCUUAAAGAAAACAGGCCAAUGAUAGCUGUUUAGCCACGAUUGCACUUAACAUUGAUCAAGCAGCUGCUGCACAAAAUCAGUGAUGUGUUCAAGACCAUCUGUUUCGAGAUUAAGAAAAGAUCACGACUCAUCCAGUCCAAGACCAAGUCAAGACCAAGACCCAUCCCAACCAUGAGCAAGUCUAGAUCAAGACUUUUAAUUAAGACCAAUACUUGAAAAUUCACAAUCAGAAUUUAGAUUUUUUUUUGGUACCCAUGCACCCAUAUUAUGGUUAUAUUUUCAUUUAUGUAAUUCCAAAAGACCCUGUUAUUGAAAAACUUUAAUGUUCACAUACUUUAAGCAAUAAUGCAUAUAUGUAAAAACACACACAAUACAACAAAGUGACAUACAUAAAGCCCUGCCCCAGCUCCCUAAUUGCGAUAGUAAAUCACAACACUAUCAAUCAACACUUAAACACUAGCACCAAUGUCCAAAACAGUCCAUUAUAUACAGGAUGCUUGUUUUCUGAAGAAUAGGCAGUGUUAAAUGACAGUCCAUAUCUAUUAAUUGAUAUGGUUACAGCAAGAUAUGUACAGCUAUUACAUGAAUGUGCUUUGCUAAAUUAAUUUUGGUCUAUAUCAUAAGAACAUUAGAGAGCUGUAAAAUAUUAUGGGAAUGAAGCAUGUAAUUUAAGGUUAUUUGUAACCAUAUAUAAAGAUAAAAAUGAAAGAGAAAUGCUUGAUAUUAACACACCAUUACAAACAAACAUCUAAUACACUAAAUUUGAUCUAAAUUUGGCUUUAAAAUGUUUCUAUGGACAACAUUACUGAAACUGUCCCCUUCAUAAGCUGCAAUUUUUUUAAUGACAUUAUGUGAAACGUUAGUUAGCCUAAUGUAGCCC
This is a long non-coding RNA of Brienomyrus brachyistius, 3015 nucleotides long. RefSeq lists it as uncharacterized. Lineage: Eukaryota; Metazoa; Chordata; Actinopteri; Osteoglossiformes; Mormyridae. The transcript has 2 exons. The record is from RefSeq and is a predicted model, not a curated record.